AGUCGAGCGGAGUCAUUUUGGAAGCUUGCUUCCAAAAUGACUUAGCGGCGGACGGGUGAGUAACACGUAGGUAACCUGCCUGUAAGACUGGGAUAACUACCGGAAACGGUAGCUAAUACCGGAUAAUUUGUUUCUUCUCAUGAAGAGAUACUGAAAGGCGGAGCAAUCUGCCACUUACAGAUGGGCCUGCGGCGCAUUAGCUAGUUGGUGAGGUAACGGCUCACCAAGGCGACGAUGCGUAGCCGACCUGAGAGGGUGAACGGCCACACUGGGACUGAGACACGGCCCAGACUCCUACGGGAGGCAGCAGUAGGGAAUCUUCCGCAAUGGACGAAAGUCUGACGGAGCAACGCCGCGUGAGUGAUGAAGGUUUUCGGAUCGUAAAGCUCUGUUGCCAGGGAAGAACGCUUGGGAGAGUAACUGCUCUCAAGGUGACGGUACCUGAGAAGAAAGCCCCGGCUAACUACGUGCCAGCAGCCGCGGUAAUACGUAGGGGGCAAGCGUUGUCCGGAAUUAUUGGGCGUAAAGCGCGCGCAGGCGGUCAUUUAAGUUUGGUGUUUAAUCCCGGAGCUCAACUCCGGGUCGCACUGAAAACUGGAUGACUUGAGUACAGAAGAGGAGAGUGGAAUUCCACGUGUAGCGGUGAAAUGCGUAGAUAUGUGGAGGAACACCAGUGGCGAAGGCGACUCUCUGGGCUGUAACUGACGCUGAGGCGCGAAAGCGUGGGGGAGCAAACAGGAUUAGAUACCCUGGUAGUCCACGCCGUAAACGAUGAGUGCUAGGUGUUAGGGGUUUCGAUACCCUUGGUGCCCGAAGUUAACACAUUAAGCACUCCGCCUGGGGAGUACGGUCGCAAGACUGAAACUCAA
Molecule: ribosomal RNA, 869 nt
Filed under: Paenibacillus sp. h50-9-u8f
Lineage: Bacteria; Bacillati; Bacillota; Bacilli; Caryophanales; Paenibacillaceae
Description: bacterial SSU rRNA
Rfam family: Bacterial small subunit ribosomal RNA
Source: RNAcentral